UACAGAGGGUGCAAGCGUUAAUCGGAAUUACUGGGCGUAAAGCGUGCGUAGACGGUUACAUAAGUCGGGUGUGAAAGCCCCGGGCUCAACCUGGGAAUGGCAUUCGAGACUGCGUAGCUAGGAUGCGGAAGAGGGAAGCGGAAUUUCCGGUGUAGCGGUGAAAUGCGUAGAUAUCGGAAGGAACACCAGUGGCGAAAGCGGCUUCCUGGUCCAGCAUCGACGUUCAGGCACGAAAGCGUGGGGAGCAAACAGG
Molecule: ribosomal RNA, 253 nt
Filed under: uncultured bacterium
Lineage: Bacteria
Description: partial 16S ribosomal RNA
Rfam family: Bacterial small subunit ribosomal RNA
Source: RNAcentral